RNAcentral lists this ribosomal RNA (333 nucleotides) under uncultured bacterium. RNAcentral describes it as "bacterial SSU rRNA". It matches the Rfam family "Bacterial small subunit ribosomal RNA", at positions 568 to 899 of the family's 1533-position model. The record is from RNAcentral.
UGCGUAGGCGGUUUGGUAAGUCUGAUGUGAAAUCUAUGGGCUCAACUCAUAGUCUGCAUCGGAAACUGCCGGGCUGGAGUGUGGGAGAGGUGAGUGGAAUUUCCGGUGUAGCGGUGAAAUGCGUAGAUAUCGGAAGGAACACCUGUGGCGAAAGCGGCUCACUGGACCACAACUGACGCUGAUGCACGAAAGCUAGGGGAGCAAACAGGAUUAGAUACCCUGGUAGUCCUAGCCCUAAACGAUGACUGCUUGGUGUGACGGGUACCCAAUCCCGCCGUGCCGUAGCUAACGCGUUAAGCAGUCCGCCUGGGGAGUACGGUCGCAAGGCUAGAA